GCAGAGGGAGGGGCAGAGGCUGCUGACCUCAUUACCAUAUUUAUCCAGGGAGGGCAGAGGGAGGGGCAGAGGCUGCUGAUCUCAUUACCAUAUUUAUCCAGGGAGGGCAGAGGGAGGGGCAGAGGCUGCUGAUCUCAUUACCAUAUUUAUCCAGGGAGGGCAGAGGGAGGGGCAGAGACUGCUGGCAUCAUUACCAUAUUUAUCCAGAGAAGGGAGGGCAGAGGGAGGGGCAGAGGCUGCUGAGCUCAUUACCAUAUUUAUCCAGAGAAGGGAGGGCAGAGGGAGGGACAGAGAGGGAGGGACAGAGAGAGAGAUGGACAGAGAGAGAGAUGGACAGAGAGAGAGAUGGACAGAGAGAGAGAUGGACAGAGGGAAAGAAAGAAAAUAUACAUUUCUAUAUUUCCACCAUUGAGACAGAGUACACUAGUAGUACCCAUACAGACAGUGUACACUAGUAGUACCCAUACAGACAGUGUACACUAGUAGUAC
RNAcentral lists this long non-coding RNA (489 nucleotides) under Oncorhynchus kisutch (coho salmon). RNAcentral describes it as "lncRNA (ENSOKIG00005008764.1)". The record is from RNAcentral. Lineage: Eukaryota; Metazoa; Chordata; Actinopteri; Salmoniformes; Salmonidae.